UACAGAGGUCUCGAGCGUUAGGCGGAAUCACUGGGCUUAAAGCGUGUGUAGGUGGAUCGUUAAGUACCUUGUGAAAUCCCACGGCUUAACCGUGGAACUGCUUGGUAUACUGGCGGUCUUGAGCCAGCUAGGGGCUACCGGAACAAAUGGUGGAGCGGUGAAAUGCGUAGAUAUCGGGAGGAACAUCAGUGGCGAAGGCGGCCUUCUGGUCCAGUACUGACACUCAAGUGCGAAAGCGUGGGGAGCAAACAGG
This 253-nucleotide ribosomal RNA is filed under the name uncultured bacterium. RNAcentral's name for it is "partial 16S ribosomal RNA". It matches the Rfam family "Bacterial small subunit ribosomal RNA", at positions 524 to 776 of the family's 1533-position model. The record is from RNAcentral.